RNAcentral lists this long non-coding RNA (386 nucleotides) under Setaria viridis. RNAcentral describes it as "long non-coding RNA (SVIR_LNC001115)". The record is from RNAcentral. Lineage: Eukaryota; Viridiplantae; Streptophyta; Magnoliopsida; Poales; Poaceae.
GUUGAUGCAGCCCUGCCAACUCGUACGAACUCGUGAAAAGAAAAGGAUUUAGCGAAGUCGCCGACUUGAAAGUAAAGUGCAAGGAAAAAAUAGAUUUGUUUUGUUGAUUGAAGUGUUCUUCUUACAAGCCUUACGAGGCAGCUAUUUAUACCCUAUUAUAACUAAUUUCCUAACCGACUAGGAUCUAUCUCUAACAGAUAUUUACAAACGAACACAACCCGCAUUGGAGUUGGUUAUUAUUUUCUCAUGGGCCAAUCUUCAUCUUCAGCAAAUCAUCAUCCUGGCCCACUUUCAGCGCACAUCGGCCAAGCCGUUCUGGCUCCCAACCGGCCAGUCUUCAUUGACUCCCUCAGCCCAUCGGCUGAAACACUAUAGCUCUAAUCGGC